This is a long non-coding RNA of Oncorhynchus keta (chum salmon), 188 nucleotides long. RefSeq lists it as uncharacterized. The record is from RefSeq and is a predicted model, not a curated record. The transcript has 3 exons. NCBI's taxonomy places the organism in Eukaryota, Metazoa, Chordata, Actinopteri, Salmoniformes, Salmonidae.
GGUGAAUAACAGGUGACUAACAGGUGAAUAACAGGUGAAUAACAGGUGACAAACAGGUGAAUAACAGGUGAAUAACAGGUGACCAACAGGUGAAUAACAGGUUACUAACAGGUGAAUAACAGGUUACUAACAGGUGACCAACAGGUGACUAACAGGUGAAUAACAGGUGACAAACAGGUGAAUAACAG